UGCAGUCGAGCGGUACAGAAAGUAGCUUGCUACUUUGCUGACGAGCGGCGGACGGGUGAGUAAUGCUUGGGAACAUGCCUUGAGGUGGGGGACAACAGUUGGAAACGACUGCUAAUACCGCAUAAUGUCUACGGACCAAAGGGGGCUUCGGCUCUCGCCUUUAGAUUGGCCCAAGUGGGAUUAGCUAGUUGGUGAGGUAAUGGCUCACCAAGGCAACGAUCCCUAGCUGGUUUGAGAGGAUGAUCAGCCACACUGGAACUGAGACACGGUCCAGACUCCUACGGGAGGCAGCAGUGGGGAAUAUUGCACAAUGGGCGAAAGCCUGAUGCAGCCAUGCCGCGUGUGUGAAGAAGGCCUUCGGGUUGUAAAGCACUUUCAGUCAGGAGGAAAGGGUGUGAGUUAAUACCUCAUAUCUGUGACGUUACUGACAGAAGAAGCACCGGCUAACUCCGUGCCAGCAGCCGCGGUAAUACGGAGGGUGCGAGCGUUAAUCGGAAUUACUGGGCGUAAAGCGUACGCAGGCGGUUUGUUAAGCGAGAUGUGAAAGCCCCGGGCUCAACCUGGGAACUGCAUUUCGAACUGGCAAACUAGAGUGUGAUAGAGGGUGGUAGAAUUUCAGGUGUAGCGGUGAAAUGCGUAGAGAUCUGAAGGAAUACCGAUGGCGAAGGCAGCCACCUGGGUCAACACUGACGCUCAUGUACGAAAGCGUGGGGAGCAAACGGGAUUAGAUACCCCGGUAGUCCACGCCGUACACGAUGUCUACUAGAAGCUCGGAACCUCGGUUCUGUUUUUCAAAGCUAACGCAUUAAGUACACCGCCUGGGGAGUACGGCCGCAGGUUAAAACUCAAAUGAAUUGACGGGGGCCCGCACAGCGGUGGAGCAUGUGGUUUAUUCGAUGCACGCGAGACCUUUACCUACUCUUGACAUACAGAGCACUUUACUAGAGAUAGAUUGUGCUUCGGGACUCUGAUACAGUGCUGCAUGCCUGUCGUCAGCUCGGUUGGAGAUGUAGUAAGUCCGCACGAGGCCAACCGUAUCAUAGUGCUAGCAGUUAUGCUGAACCUUAGGACUGCGGGUUAAGUCCGGAAAGGUGACACACU
Molecule: ribosomal RNA, 1101 nt
Filed under: Pseudoalteromonas sp. R103
Lineage: Bacteria; Pseudomonadati; Pseudomonadota; Gammaproteobacteria; Alteromonadales; Pseudoalteromonadaceae
Description: bacterial SSU rRNA
Rfam family: Bacterial small subunit ribosomal RNA
Source: RNAcentral